Molecule: ribosomal RNA, 253 nt
Filed under: uncultured bacterium
Lineage: Bacteria
Description: partial 16S ribosomal RNA
Rfam family: Bacterial small subunit ribosomal RNA
Source: RNAcentral
UACGUAGGGGGCAAGCGUUGUCCGGAUUUAUUGGGCGUAAAGAGCGUGUAGGCGGCCUGAAAGGUCAGCUGUGAAAACUCGAGGCUCAACCUCGAGACGUCGGUUGAAACCAUCUGGCUAGAGUCCGGAAGAGGAGUGUGGAAUUCCCGGUGUAGUGGUGAAAUGCGUAGAGAUCGGGAGGAACACCAGUGGCGAAGGCGGCUUGCUGGGCCGGACCUGACGCUGAGACGCGAAGGCGUGGGGAGCGAACGGG